Molecule: ribosomal RNA, 717 nt
Filed under: Guptibacillus hwajinpoensis
Lineage: Bacteria; Bacillati; Bacillota; Bacilli; Caryophanales; Guptibacillaceae
Description: bacterial SSU rRNA
Rfam family: Bacterial small subunit ribosomal RNA
Source: RNAcentral
AUACAUGCAGUCGAGCGAAGAGAUGGGAGCUUGCUCCCUGAUCUUAGCGGCGGACGGGUGAGUAACACGUGGGCAACCUGCCCUGCAGACUGGGAUAACUCCGGGAAACCGGAGCUAAUACCGGGUAAUACAUCGCACCGCAUGGUGCAAUGUUGAAAGUUGGCUUUCUGAGCUAACACUGCAGGAUGGGCCCGCGGCGCAUUAGCUAGUUGGUAAGGUAAUGGCUUACCAAGGCGACGAUGCGUAGCCGACCUGAGAGGGUGAUCGGCCACACUGGGACUGAGACACGGCCCAGACUCCUACGGGAGGCAGCAGUAGGGAAUCUUCCGCAAUGGACGAAAGUCUGACGGAGCAACGCCGCGUGAGUGACGAAGGCCUUCGGGUCGUAAAGCUCUGUUGUUAGGGAAGAACAAGUACCGUUCGAAUAGGGCGGUACCUUGACGGUACCUAACCAGAAAGCCACGGCUAACUACGUGCCAGCAGCCGCGGUAAUACGUAGGUGGCAAGCGUUGUCCGGAAUUAUUGGGCGUAAAGCGCGCGCAGGCGGUCUUUUAAGUCUGAUGUGAAAGCCCACGGCUCAACCGUGGAGGGUCAUUGGAAACUGGAGGACUUGAGUGCAGAAGAGGAGAGUGGAAUUCCACGUGUAGCGGUGAAAUGCGUAGAUAUGUGGAGGAACACCAGUGGCGAAGGCGGCUCUCUGGUCUGUAACUGACGCUG